ACAAUGGGCGCAAGCCUGAUGGAGCAACACCGCGUGAGUGAAGAAGGGUUUCGGCUCGUAAAGCUCUGUUGUUAAAGAAGAACACGUAUGAGAGUAACUGUUCAUACGUUGACGGUAUUUAACCAGAAAGUCACGGCUAACUACGUGCCAGCAGCCGCGGUAAUACGUAGGUGGCAAGCGUUAUCCGGAUUUAUUGGGCGUAAAGAGAGUGCAGGCGGUUUUCUAAGUCUGAUGUGAAAGCCUUCGGCUUAACCGGAGAAGUGCAUCGGAAACUGGAUAACUUGAGUGCAGAAGAGGGUAGUGGAACUCCAUGUGUAGCGGUGAAAUGCGUAGAUAUAUGGAAGAACACCAGUGGCGAAGGCGGCUACCUGGUCUGCAACUGACGCUGAGACUCGAAAGCAUGGGUAGCGAACAGGAUUAGAUACCCUGGUAG
This 433-nucleotide ribosomal RNA is filed under the name uncultured bacterium. Its description in RNAcentral is "bacterial SSU rRNA". It matches the Rfam family "Bacterial small subunit ribosomal RNA", at positions 368 to 793 of the family's 1533-position model. The record is from RNAcentral.